ACAGGUGGCAGCAGCAGACUGGGACAUACAAAAAAAGGAGUAGCCUAAGUUUUAAGAUAUAGAUCUAAGCAAACCAGUGGUCUGUGGGCAUGGACUAUUGCUAUGGAACAAGAAGAGCUGCUAAAGAAAUACAGCCAGGUGGCUUGUCCUUAUAUGAACAGAAACCAGAAAGCAUUGAGAACUUCGAACUAAGCAGUGGUUUCAUCCUUGACAUGGGCAUGGCACAGGAGAAAAUGGAAGUAGACUUGGAGCUGUCGCCGAAUUCCACCACCUCAGAUGGCAAUGCCUUAAGAAUAGCCAACAGCGUCCCUUUGAUCAAUGGAUUUGGUGAUAAUUCACAGGUAUUCCAAGCUGACACGUUAAGAGUGAAAAGAAACAGCAUGACAUUUAUGAGCCAGCAUGCCCUGUUGUUCCUACCUUCUCCUAUUUGUACUUCUGCCAGCCGCUUGCAUCAAAUAAAACAGGAAGAAGGCAUGGAUGUAGUAAACAGAGAAGCAAUGCAUGAACGGGAGGUACACACUGCAAUACAGAUAAGUCAGUCUUGGGAAGAAAAUCUGAAACUGAAUGAUGAUGAUCUGGACAUACCAUCCGCUGUAAAGAGCAUUGAUCUAAUCCCAGUAUCCCAAGCAGCUUCUCUCACUAAAUGGAUUGGGAAGAAGUCACAGGCCCACCAACACUGUUAAAAUAACUAUCCUUGGACCCGGUAAAGAAAAGGUAAAAUACCACUUGAUGAAUAGCCAAGACACUGCCAACAUAUAUCCUGUGAUACUUCCCAGCUUUCAGUAAAGACUGUGUGGGAGAAGAGCUGGCUUAGGCAAAUACGGAACCUUUCCAGUCUGUUCAAGCCAUUACCAAUGGAUAGCUCCACCUGAAACAUCAGGUCCAUAGAUUAAAAUGAAAGAAGGCCACACACAUUCUCUGACUUUUCUUUCCAGUGGGGAUAAUUAAGAUGGGGAAAAGGGAAACUUUAUUUCUUUUUCUCUCUCAUUUUAAUUUUUUUUGGGCAGUUGAACCCAGGGGCA
Ictidomys tridecemlineatus (thirteen-lined ground squirrel) is the source of this 1022-nucleotide non-coding RNA. The record is from RefSeq and is a predicted model, not a curated record. Lineage: Eukaryota; Metazoa; Chordata; Mammalia; Rodentia; Sciuridae.